UGACUCUGGUUUCUCUUCAUAACGCUUUGAUUCUUUCGCCUUUUACUAAAGACUUCCGUGAAAGGGAACAAACAUGAGUUGAAUAUAUUUUGGGAGCUUUGCUGUAUGGCUGGGCC
This is a small nuclear RNA of Hippoglossus stenolepis (Pacific halibut), 116 nucleotides long. RefSeq annotates it as U5 spliceosomal RNA. The transcript has a single exon. The record is from RefSeq and is a predicted model, not a curated record. NCBI's taxonomy places the organism in Eukaryota, Metazoa, Chordata, Actinopteri, Pleuronectiformes, Pleuronectidae.